UGUGGCAUCGGCUGAUGUAAAAAGCUCUUCAUAAAUACAUUUUAUUUGAUUGAACUCCAAGUGAGGGAGUGAUAAUUCUGGAUGAAUAGGCUGGUGUGGCAGUCAAGGGGGGACUGGCAUGACACCGCGGGUCGACAAGCGCCAACAACAGGUACGACAAGCUAAUUAGCUACAGUAGCUAUGUGUAGCUAUGAGCUAACCUCUGAGGUAACGGGAUAGACCCGAAGCUAACACACAAGGAUGAAAAUGCCCGGCAAAAGCAAUAACAGUUAGCUAGUAUGGGCAGCACAAUUAAGAGAGAGAGGGGGAGUAGACUCGUAAAACAGUAAUUCAAAGGGGAUUAAUAGCAAUCUUGUAAUGUAAAAUACAUAAACAUGAGAGUAAAGAAAAAGACAGUAUGUCACACCACACUGCCUUUUAUAGUGACAGGUCACGUGGGUACAGUAACGGGUGUGGCGUGACUGUAAACAUCUUUGAUAUAAUUAAGCAUCUCAAUCACAUCGCCUAAAGGGGAAGGAGUUCCCAUAGGUCAUUUGGCGACCUGUUAUGAAAACGAAAGACGAUAGUAUCUUCUGGCCGGGAGAGUUUUGACGACGCUUGUUCUGAACGUUAAAACGCAUCGCUUGUGGUACGUUUUUUGGAAACAUAAGGAACAAAUCUUUCAUUUCAGCUAGAAAUCUUUCUUUUUUUAAAUUACUACACAGUACUACACACCUUUAUAGGGGUAGUGUUGCCACACAACCAUGUCUCCAUGUUACAGCCCCUGUUAACAUUUUAACAGGGUUGAAGACAGAUUGAAGACAGAAGCGAGCACCUGUGCUAAUUAGCUAUCUAGCGUGCUUUGAACACCUGUGUGUAAGCAUAACUGGGAAGGAAGUGUAGUUAGUCAACUGGAGGCACACACAGCGUAUGAAUCUGUGCACAUCUGCUACAGUAAGUGUAUCUAUUUUAUUUGGAAGAUUCUUUCUCGUUGAUAUGUUAAGAGUAUUAAGCCAGUAACCAAAAGGUUGCUGGUUCGAAUCCCUGAGCCAACUAGGUGAAAAAUCUGUAGAUUUUCCCUUUAGCAAGGCAAUUAUUCUUAAUUUCUCCUGCAAGUCACUCUGGAUGAGAGUGUCUACAAAAUGACUAAAAUGUCAAAUGUAAUAUAUGAAAGAUAAGGACAUAUUUAUCUGGCUAGAAUAGCCAGUAAUGUGAAUUCAAGGGCUGUGAUUGGUUUGACACGACCUCUUUGCAGCCAUCAGACCUAUUCCACCAACACUGUUGGUGUCAGGGUAAGACAACUAUGCAUACCAUAAGGCUCCAAACAAGACUCAUGUGAAUAAUGUAGCUGCAUGUAUGUGUUACAUUCAUAGCAUACAUGACUGUCAACUGAACAGGAACAUUUUGAGCUUACUUGGCUAGGUAGCUGUAGAUCAAUAAUUAAGGAAAUAACUAUUCUUUCUCUUUUCUGCUCAAUCACAGGUGCUAUAUGAUGGAGAGUGCCCAAUAUGUUUCGCCCAUGACCAGGGAAAGUAAACUUUGUGGACAUCUCCCUGCAAGGAUACAAUGAAGAGAAGCAUGAAGAGAGCAGCUAUGAGAUGGCCAUGGGCGAGAUGCACGGGAUUGAUGAGAAGAACGAGAUUCACUGUGGAGUCCCAGCCUUUACAGUCAUGUACAGUGUAUUGGGUUUAGGCUGGCUGGGCUGCUUCAUGUCAUACGUUAGACCAGUCAUCGACAAAGCCUACUCAACUUUGCCAAAAACUGCCUGAAAUGGACCGGACCAGAAGACUGUACUACAGGACGCUGUCUAAAGAAACAACAUUGACCAGGCAGUGCGUUUAAGAAUUGAACCAUACACAGACGAGACUGUGACAGCAUCUCUUUACAGAGAGGCAUGUCAACUCUUUCUAAUCUUCAGAGUCCUUGCCACCUGUUUCCUCAGCAAGGAGUCACUGUACAUCAUGUGCCUGACAAAGACAUCUACUCCAUGUACUCCACAGCCUGUAGUCAGUCAGUGCUGACAGACAGGAUAGAGCGCAAAAUAUUAAGGAAGAAAGGAGGACAACAGGAGGAGAUUGACUCUCCAAGUCUGACUCAUGUCAUAUUUGCUGAUAAUGUAGUUUCAGAGGACGGAGGCCUCAUCCUAAACAACCCAUGUGCCCUCACUGUCCACGAGAACUGUCUCAUUUAGCCCAACCAGCCUUACCAGUGCGUCCUGUUGCUAGGCACCAGUCGCUAUGACAACACUAAACGUCCAGGCACCUCCACUAGCCUGCGGGCCAAGAUCAACCACCUGAUCUGCAGCGCCACAGACACUGUGGGUGUCCACUCCCUCCUGUAUAACCUGCUGGCCCCAGACGUCUACUUCAUGUUCAACCCCAAGCUGAGUGCCGAUGUGUCCCAAGAUGAGAGCAGUUUCAGGGCUGUGGAGCAGCUGUUGGGUCUAAGAGUAAUAGGUCAUAGUCUGGGUCACACACAGGCACAGUCCCAACUCGGCUCUGGAGGAGAGUUGUAGGGUUUUGUUACUCAGUGCCUGUAGUUUGAUAUCCUUUUUUAAGCUUUGAAAAAAACUGCACAUACAGUGGCAAGAAAAAGUAUGUGAACCCUUUAGAAUGACCUGGAUUUCUGCAUAUUAAUUGGU
Long non-coding RNA from Oncorhynchus kisutch (coho salmon), 2620 nucleotides. RefSeq lists it as uncharacterized. The record is from RefSeq and is a predicted model, not a curated record. The transcript is spliced from 5 exons. Lineage: Eukaryota; Metazoa; Chordata; Actinopteri; Salmoniformes; Salmonidae.